AGUUAAUGAACUUGUAAAAGUAUAUGUUUUGAAAACAUAAAAAAGAGGUAAAAUCCCCUAUUAACUU
RNAcentral lists this transfer RNA (67 nucleotides) under Deporaus betulae. RNAcentral describes it as "tRNA-Ser". It matches the Rfam family "tRNA". From Rfam's summary of the family: Transfer RNA (tRNA) molecules are approximately 80 nucleotides in length. Their secondary structure includes four short double-helical elements and three loops (D, anti-codon, and T loops). Lineage: Eukaryota; Metazoa; Arthropoda; Insecta; Coleoptera; Attelabidae. The record is from RNAcentral.